UGGGGAAUUUUGGACAAUGGGCGAAAGCCUGAUCCAGCAAUGCCGCGUGCAGGAUGAAGGCCUUCGGGUUGUAAACUGCUUUUGUACGGAACGAAAAAGCUUCCCCUAAUACGAGAGGCCCAUGACGGUACCGUAAGAAUAAGCACCGGCUAACUACGUGCCAGCAGCCGCGGUAAUACGUAGGGUGCGAGCGUUAAUCGGAAUUACUGGGCGUAAAGCGUGCGCAGGCGGUUAUGUAAGACAGAUGUGAAAUCCCCGGGCUCAACCUGGGAACUGCAUUUGGGACUGCAUGGCUAGAGUACGGUAGAGGGGGAUGGAAUUCCGCGUGUAGCAGUGAAAUGCGUAGAUAUGCGGAGGAACACCGAUGGCGAAGGCAAUCCCCUGGACCUGUACUGACGCUCAUGCACUAAAGCGUGGGGAGCAAACA
Molecule: ribosomal RNA, 427 nt
Filed under: uncultured bacterium
Lineage: Bacteria
Description: bacterial SSU rRNA
Rfam family: Bacterial small subunit ribosomal RNA
Source: RNAcentral